GACGAACGCUGGCGGCGUGCCUAAUACAUGCAAGUAGAACGCUGAAGAGAGGAGCUUGCUCUUCUUGGAUGAGUUGCGAACGGGUGAGUAACGCGUAGGUAACCUGCCUUGUAGCGGGGGAUAACUAUUGGAAACGAUAGCUAAUACCGCAUAACAAUAGGUGACACAUGUCAUUUAUUUGAAAGGGGCAAUUGCUCCACUACAAGAUGGACCUGCGUUGUAUUAGCUAGUAGGUGAGGUAACGGCUCACCUAGGCGACGAUACAUAGCCGACCUGAGAGGGUGAUCGGCCACACUGGGACUGAGACACGGCCCAGACUCCUACGGGAGGCAGCAGUAGGGAAUCUUCGGCAAUGGGGGCAACCCUGACCGAGCAACGCCGCGUGAGUGAAGAAGGUUUUCGGAUCGUAAAGCACUGUUGUAAGUCAAGAACGAGUGUGAGAGUGGAAAGUUCACACUGUGACGGUAGCUUACCAGAAAGGGACGGCUAACUACGUG
RNAcentral lists this ribosomal RNA (497 nucleotides) under uncultured bacterium. Its description in RNAcentral is "partial 16S ribosomal RNA". It matches the Rfam family "Bacterial small subunit ribosomal RNA", at positions 28 to 507 of the family's 1533-position model. The record is from RNAcentral.